UCCAGACUCCUACGGGAGGCAGCAGUGGGGGAUAUUGCACAAUGGGGGGAACCCUGAUGCAGCGACGCCGCGUGGGUGAAGGAGCGUUUCGGCGCGUAAAGCCCUCUCGGCAGGGAAGAAGGAGGACGGUACCUGACUAAGAAGCCCCGGCUAACUACGUGCCAGCAGCCGCGGUAAUACGUAGGGGGCAAGCGUUAUCCGGAUUUACUGGGUGUAAAGGGGGCGCAGACGGCGAUGCAAGCCAGGAGUGAAAGCCCGGGGCCCAACCCCGGGACUGCUCUUGGAACUGCGUGGCUGGAGUGCAGGAGGGGCAGGCGGAAUUCCUAGUGUAGCGGUGAAAUGCGUAGAUAUUAGGAGGAACACCGGUGGCGAAGGCGGCCUGCUGGACUGUAACUGACGUUGAGGCUCGAAAGCGUGGGGAGCAAACAGGAUUAGAUACCCCGGUAUA
This 448-nucleotide ribosomal RNA is filed under the name uncultured bacterium. RNAcentral's name for it is "partial 16S ribosomal RNA". It matches the Rfam family "Bacterial small subunit ribosomal RNA", at positions 330 to 794 of the family's 1533-position model. The record is from RNAcentral.